This 214-nucleotide long non-coding RNA is filed under the name Phoenix dactylifera (date palm). RNAcentral describes it as "long non-coding RNA (PDAC_LNC002908)". Lineage: Eukaryota; Viridiplantae; Streptophyta; Magnoliopsida; Arecales; Arecaceae. The record is from RNAcentral.
UUUUCAAUAAAAUUUUAAUAUUAUAAAUAAUUUUUAUUUUUUAUAUUUAUCUGGAUAUUUUUUUAUCUUUUUAUAAUCUAUUUUGCAAUGGAACCCUACGAAAGACAAUGCUCGUAUUAAAUGCUAGUAUUAUUACAGAUAAUGAUUACGACAAUUUUUUUUUACUAAAAUAGAUGUAUCAUACAUUAACCCAUCCCUUUCAAACAAUUAUAGA